RNAcentral lists this ribosomal RNA (441 nucleotides) under uncultured bacterium. Its description in RNAcentral is "partial 16S ribosomal RNA". It matches the Rfam family "Bacterial small subunit ribosomal RNA", at positions 338 to 795 of the family's 1533-position model. The record is from RNAcentral.
CCUACGAGUGGCAGCAGUGGGGAAUAUUGCGCAAUGGGGGAAACCCUGACGCAGCACCGCCGCGUGAGUGAAGACGUAUCUCGGUAUGUAAAGCUCUAUCAGCGGGGAAGAAGGAAGACGGUACCCGACUAAGAAGCUCCGGCUAACUACGUGCCAGCAGCCGCGGUAAUACGUAGGGGGCGAGCGUGAUCCGGAUUUACUGGGUGGAAAGGGAGGGUAGACGGCGUCGCAAGUCUGAAGGGAAGGCCCGUGGCUCAACCGCGGAACCGCUUUGGAAACUGCGUGGCUGGAGUGCUAGAGAGGUAAGCGGAAUGCCUGGUGUAGCGGUGAAAUGCGUAGAUAGCAGGAAGAACACCGGUGGCGAAGGCGGCUUACUGGACAGUGACUGACGUUGAGGCUCGAAAGCGUGGGGAGCGAACAGGAUUAGAUACCCCUGUAGUC